AAUGAACGUUGGCGGCAUGGAUUAGGCAUGCAAGUUGAGCGAGAAGUCUUUUUUGCUUGCAUUAAAGAUGGACAGCGGCGAAAGGGAGAGUAACGCGUAGAAAUGUACCCCGAGGUCUGGGAUAGCUGCGGGAAACUGCAGGUAAUACCGGAUAAUGUCUCCGGACCAAAGUUUUUCGCCUUGGGAGCAGUCUGCGUAUUAUUAGGUAGUUGGUGGGGUAAGAGCCUACCAAGCCUUAGAUGAUUAGCGGGCGUGAGAGCGUGGCCCGUCUCACUGGGACUGAGACACUGCCCAGACAUCUACGGAUGGCUGCAGUCGAGAAUCUUCCGCAAUGGGCGAAAGCCUGACGGAGCAAUGCCGCGUGGUGGAUGAAGGCCUUCGGGUUGUAAACACCUGUCAGUAGGGAGGAAAUUUUGACCGAUCUACAGAGGAAGUCCGUGCUAAGUACG
This 449-nucleotide ribosomal RNA is filed under the name uncultured Planctomycetaceae bacterium. RNAcentral describes it as "bacterial SSU rRNA". It matches the Rfam family "Bacterial small subunit ribosomal RNA", at positions 29 to 505 of the family's 1533-position model. Lineage: Bacteria; Pseudomonadati; Planctomycetota; Planctomycetia; Planctomycetales; Planctomycetaceae. The record is from RNAcentral.